CACCUCUUACCUUUCCGAACAGAGAAGUUAAGCCCAACUGCGCAGAUGGUACUGCAUUUUUGUGGGAGAGUAUGUCGCCGCCUUCU
Molecule: ribosomal RNA, 86 nt
Filed under: Flavobacterium urocaniciphilum
Lineage: Bacteria; Pseudomonadati; Bacteroidota; Flavobacteriia; Flavobacteriales; Flavobacteriaceae
Source: RNAcentral